Xiphophorus couchianus (Monterrey platyfish) is the source of this 1566-nucleotide long non-coding RNA. RefSeq lists it as uncharacterized. The record is from RefSeq and is a predicted model, not a curated record. The transcript has 5 exons. NCBI's taxonomy places the organism in Eukaryota, Metazoa, Chordata, Actinopteri, Cyprinodontiformes, Poeciliidae.
AUUCCUAAACCUUCAAGUCCACAUGUUAAAAUGUCGUUGAGCAAAACAUUUAAACUCGGGUGAUAAUGGUUUUAAAGGUUGGUAAUGCUGCUGGGUGUCAAACCUAAAAUCUCUUAGGACCGAGAAGAGACAACGCUUUGCGGGACAAAUUCAUCUCUCUAAGGACGAAGACAACGCUUCUGUGGACAAAUGAAAUCUUUCAAGUAGUGAGGAAUUUUAAUCUUUUAGGACUAAUAUGAUGUCAUGGUGGACAAAUUAAAAUGUAGAGGAAUUAAAACAACACGCGGAGUACAAAUUAAAAUCUUUAAGGAUAAAAGAAAAGACAGAGAUAAAUAUUUGGUUAAGGCUUGGUCCAGUGACUUGGACCACCAUAGACAUAUUCUGAGGACCACCAGGAGCUGCAGUCACCUUUCAGGUUAAGGCAAAAGUAAGUAUCAGUCCCAGACAGAGCAGCUGGCAGUGAGACUGCUUCUUCCAAGAUUCUCUCUGUGCUUCUGUCUCUGUUUUCCUCUCUACUCUCCCAUGUUUCAGGGUGUAGUAGCGGUGCUUCCCCACACGGUGCUCUCUAAUAUAGUUAAUUGUUCUCACCUGUUCCUCCACUAAUCCACUCUCCCAGUUCUACUCUUUCAGGUUUUAGCUGCUCAUCGCUGGAUUCUUUCAUCGUUGUCCAUGUGGUUCCUGCUUGUCCAGACUGCUCAGAUCUCUGAUGUUCUGAUCAUCCCAGGUUGGAUCUCCUGAGCCUGGAAUCCUCCACCUUCAACACCACCAGUCAGGUGGAGGAAGAUAAGAGAACCCAGUUGGUCAAAAAAAUUGACCAACAAUUAAAGCAGAAGACCUGCUCCACCUGCUGUUCUACUGGUUGGAAGAGAUUGUGGAAAAGCAUCAGCGAGACAAGACAAGACUGGACCAAUGAGGAGAGAGAAGACACAGAGGACUGAGGAGACGCUGGAAAUCCUGCUGGAAAUCCAGAGAAGAUGUUUCCUGAUGCAUCAGGGGGACAACUGAGGACGGGACACAGCAUAAAGAGACAGAGAUCAUGUGAAAUUCAAGGAUGGCCUUUCAACCCUGGAUGUCAUUUAUGCUUCGGAGCUUCAUUCUUCUGUGUUCAGGCCCUUUAUGUGCACAAGGGUGGAAAAGCUGACAUCAGAAAUGUUAGAGGAAAUCUGUGAAGUUCAGCUCAGCGAAAAGGACAGCACCAGACGACAAGAAGAAACCAGACUGCUAGGAUUCUCCUUGAGACAGACCAAACCUCGCUUUCCUGUUCAAACACUGUCAAGAUACCAAAGCCCAAAACAAAUGAUCAAUUCCAAAAAACAUGGACUUUGGGAUAAAAACUCUUUGGACUUUAUUAAGUUCAAAUACAGAAUCACAAAACAUAAAUGUGGAUGUUGGCCUGUGAAGGCAGAUGUUAACUUGUGAAACCUGCUCUGUUCAACUGUCACUACCAACUGUUAUGACUAUUGUUGAAAACUGUUGUAAUGCUUCAUUGUAUUUACAUGUAAAUAUUAGAAAUGAACAUUUUUAUGUCAUCAAAAAUUGUUGCAAUAAAAAGUGACAUACUAUUAA